This 253-nucleotide ribosomal RNA is filed under the name uncultured bacterium. RNAcentral's name for it is "partial 16S ribosomal RNA". It matches the Rfam family "Bacterial small subunit ribosomal RNA", at positions 524 to 776 of the family's 1533-position model. The record is from RNAcentral.
UACGUAGGGGGCUAGCGUUGUCCGGAAUCAUUGGGCGUAAAGAGCGCGUAGGCGGCCAGAUAAGUCCGGUGUGAAAGUCACAGGCUCAACCUGUGAAUGCCGCUGGAAACUGUCUGGCUAGAGUCCGGAAGGGGCGAGUGGAAUUCCUGGUGUAGCGGUGAAAUGCGCAGAUAUCAGGAGGAACACCGGUGGCGAAGGCGGGUCUCUGGGCCGUAACUGACGCUGAGGAGCGAAAGCGUGGGGAGCGAACAGG